AAUCAACGCUGGCGGCGUGCCUAACACAUGCAAGUCGCACGAGAAAGGGGAGCAAUCCCUGAGUAAAGUGGCGCACGGGUGAGUAACACGUGAAUUAUCUACCUCCGAGUGGGGAAUAACUGAGAGAAAUCUUAGCUAAUACCGCAUAACACUUACGAGUCAAAGCAGCAAUGCGCUUGGAGAGGAGUUCGCGGCCGAUUAGUUAGUUGGCGGGGUAAUGGCCCACCAAGCGAUGAUCGGUAUCCGGCCUGAGGAGGGCGCACGGACACACUGGAACUGAAACACGGUCCAGACUCCUACGGGAGGCAGCAGGUGGGGAAUUUUGCGCAAUGGGGGAAACCCUGACGCAGCAACGCCGCGUGGAGAU
RNAcentral lists this ribosomal RNA (367 nucleotides) under uncultured bacterium. RNAcentral describes it as "bacterial SSU rRNA". It matches the Rfam family "Bacterial small subunit ribosomal RNA", at positions 32 to 408 of the family's 1533-position model. The record is from RNAcentral.